UCCCUGGUGGUCCAGUGGUUAGGACUCUGAACUUCCAGUGCAACAGGGAGCAGGUUUGAUCCCUGGUCAGGGAA
Non-coding RNA from Ovis aries (sheep), 74 nucleotides. Lineage: Eukaryota; Metazoa; Chordata; Mammalia; Artiodactyla; Bovidae. The record is from Rfam.